GUGGGGAAUAUUGGACAAUGGGGGGAACCCUGAUCCAGCCAUGCCGCGUGUGUGAAGAAGGCCUUUUGGUUGUAAAGCACUUUAAGCGAGGAGGAGGCUACCGAGAUUAAUACUCUUGGAUAGUGGACGUUACUCGCAGAAUAAGCACCGGCUAACUCUGUGCCAGCAGCCGCGGUAAUACAGAGGGUGCAAGCGUUAAUCGGAUUUACUGGGCGUAAAGCGCGCGUAGGUGGCCAAUUAAGUCAAAUGUGAAAUCCCCGAGCUUAACUUGGGAAUUGCAUUCGAUACUGGUUGGCUAGAGUAUGUGAGAGGAUGGUAGAAUUCCAGGUGUAGCGGUGAAAUGCGUAGAGAUCUGGAGGAAUACCGAUGGCGAAGGCAGCCAUCUGGCCUAAUACUGACACUGAGGUGCGAAAGCAUGGGGAGCAAACAGGAUUAGAAACCCGGGUAGUCC
RNAcentral lists this ribosomal RNA (451 nucleotides) under uncultured bacterium. Its description in RNAcentral is "partial 16S ribosomal RNA". It matches the Rfam family "Bacterial small subunit ribosomal RNA", at positions 354 to 796 of the family's 1533-position model. The record is from RNAcentral.